GCAAACUUACCAUUGCCGCGACAUCCUUUUUUUUGCAUGGGGAUAAGAACGGGUAAAAAAGAUACAGCAGAAAGCGGGAAUAGCU
RNAcentral lists this small RNA (85 nucleotides) under Chryseobacterium gambrini. RNAcentral's name for it is "Flavo-1 RNA". The record is from RNAcentral. Lineage: Bacteria; Pseudomonadati; Bacteroidota; Flavobacteriia; Flavobacteriales; Weeksellaceae.